AUUGAACGCUGGCGGCAGGCCUAACACAUGCAAGUCGAACGGUAGCACAGAGAGCUUGCUCUCGGGUGACGAGUGGCGGACGGGUGAGUAAUGUCUGGGAAACUGCCCGAUGGAGGGGGAUAACUACUGGAAACGGUAGCUAAUACCGCAUAACGUCGCAAGACCAAAGUGGGGGACCUUCGGGCCUCACACCAUCGGAUGUGCCCAUAUGGGAUUAGCUAGUAGGUUGGGUAAUGGCUCACCUAGGCGACGAUCCCUAGCUGGUCUGAGAGGAUGACGAGCCACACUGGAACUGAGACACGAUCCAGGCUCAUACGGGAGGCAGCAGUGGGGAAUAUUGCACAAUGGGCGCAAGCCUGAUGCAGCCAUGCCGCGGGUAUGAAGAAGGCCUUCGGGUUGUAAAGUACUUUCAGCGGGGAGGAAGGCGGUGAAGUUAAUAGCUUCACCGAUUGACGUUACCCGCAGAAGAAGCACCGGCUAACUCCGUGCCAGCCGCCGCCGUAA
This 504-nucleotide ribosomal RNA is filed under the name uncultured bacterium. Its description in RNAcentral is "partial 16S ribosomal RNA". It matches the Rfam family "Bacterial small subunit ribosomal RNA", at positions 30 to 523 of the family's 1533-position model. The record is from RNAcentral.